RNAcentral lists this long non-coding RNA (324 nucleotides) under Pan troglodytes (chimpanzee). RNAcentral describes it as "long non-coding RNA NONPTRT010682". The record is from RNAcentral. Lineage: Eukaryota; Metazoa; Chordata; Mammalia; Primates; Hominidae.
AACACAACAGUUACAGUGAUGUCAUCUCUUCACCUUACAGACAGGUCCUUAUAACCUAGAAACUUGUCUGAGCGUGGUGCUGCUGUCUCUCGCCAUGGUCAUGGCUGGCUCAGGAAACCUAAAGGUUUUGCAGCUUUGUCGCUUCUUACACAUGAAAACGGGUGGUGAAAUGAACUAUGGUUUUCACUUAGCCCACCACAUGGCCCUUGGACUUCUAUUUUUGGGAGGAGGAAGGUACUCUUUGAGCACAUCAAAUUCUUCCAUUGCUGCUCUUCUCUGUGCCCUUUAUCCGCACUUCCCAGCUCACAGCACUGACAACCGGUG